GGCAUUUUAUAAGUGUAGCGGUUAUCACACCAGAUUUUGAAAUGUUUCGUCUUCUGGUAACCUGAGUUCGAAUCUCGGUACGACCU
This is a non-coding RNA of Mycena rebaudengoi, 86 nucleotides long. Lineage: Eukaryota; Fungi; Basidiomycota; Agaricomycetes; Agaricales; Mycenaceae. The record is from the annotation of a GenBank genome assembly.